RNAcentral lists this transfer RNA (72 nucleotides) under Camelus dromedarius (Arabian camel). It matches the Rfam family "tRNA". From Rfam's summary of the family: Transfer RNA (tRNA) molecules are approximately 80 nucleotides in length. RNAcentral also lists the same sequence under 1 other name. The record is from Rfam by way of RNAcentral. Lineage: Eukaryota; Metazoa; Chordata; Mammalia; Artiodactyla; Camelidae.
GAGGGUAUAGCCCAGUUGUAGAGCAUGUGCUUAGCAUGUACAUGGUUCCGGGUUCAAUCCCCAGCACCUCCA